This is a non-coding RNA of Phrynosoma platyrhinos (Desert horned lizard), 71 nucleotides long. The record is from the annotation of a GenBank genome assembly. NCBI's taxonomy places the organism in Eukaryota, Metazoa, Chordata, Lepidosauria, Squamata, Phrynosomatidae.
UCCAAUGUGGCUCAGUGAUUUAAGCGUUGGACUACAACUCUGGCGGCCAGGGUUUGAUUCCCAGCUUGGUG